GGCAUCUGCUAGUUUUGAAAACUUAAGGCGUAGUUUGAAACAUUUUCCAACCACAUUUACCGAAGUUUUCGCUGUCGCGAGACUGAUGCAAGAGAUCUCGGUGUUGGAUUUGAGAUGGUGAAACAGAAAAGAAGCUCCUACGGUUACCAUUUCAAUUUCAGAAGCUCUUCUUCUUCGAUACUCAAAUUCUUCCCCAAGAAACCAUCUUUUUUCACUGUCACGCUUUACAUAGUCAUCCUUCUCUUCUCUUCUUCAGUUCUCAUUUUUCUUUUCAGCAGUAGAAACAUAGUGAAUGAUGACCAUGAUUUUGAUGAACAAAAGCAUAUAUUUACACAGUAUGAUCAAUCUCAGUCUCUGUCUGAAUCUCAAUCUCAGCCUUUGCAGAUUCUACAAGACCAACUUUGGGAUUCUCCUUUUAGCUAUGGUUUACACCCAUGUGUCAAGCCUACGAGUAGAUACAUAGCUUCCAAAGGAUCAAACCGGUACAUUACAGUAAAAUGCAAUGGAGGAUUGAAUCAGAUGCGGACUGGUAUAUCGGACAUGGUGGCUGUGGCACACAUAAUGAAUGCAACACUAGUUAUUCCUCAACUGGAUAGACGUUCAUUCUGGCAAGACACAAGUAAAUUUUCAGAUAUAUUUGAUGAGCUCCAUUUCAUCAAAGCAUUACAAGAAGAUGUGAGGAUUGUCAAGGAGCUCCCAAAAGAACUGGAGUCUGCCCCUCGGGCCCGGAAACACUUCACUUCCUGGUCUGGCAUGGGUUACUAUCAAGAAAUGACACAGUUAUGGAAGGACAAUCAGGUAAUUCAUGUUGCAAAAUCAGAUUCACGACUUGCGAACAAUGAUCUGCCACUUGAUAUACAACGGUUGAGAUGUCGUGCUCUAUAUCAUUCUCUCCGCUUCUCUAUGCCGAUUGAAAUCCUAGGAAAGAAGCUGGUGGAACGGCUGAGAUCACGUGGGGGAAGAUACAUAGCUCUUCAUCUCAGAUACGAGAAAGACAUGCUAUCUUUUACUGGUUGUACUUACGGUCUGACUAAUGCGGAAUCUGAAGAGCUGAGAAUAAUGAGGGAGAACACAAACCAUUGGAAGGUCAAAGUUAUAAAUUCAACGGAACAGAGAAUAUCAGGCUUGUGUCCACUAACUCCUAAGGAAGUGGGGAUAUUUCUUCAAGCUCUUGGUUAUCCAGCCUCAACAUUAAUUUAUAUUGCUGCUGGAGGAAUUUAUGGUGGUAAUGCUCACCUUUCAGAGCUCAUGUCCCGCUUUCCAAACCUAGUUUUUAAGGAGAAUUUGGCUGCUAAUGAAGAGUUGAAGGCAUUUACUAAUCACGCAUCUCAGUAUGCCGCUCUUGAUUACAUAAUUUCCAUAGAGAGUGAUGUGUUCAUCCCAACACAUUCAGGUAAUAUGGCAAGAGCUGUCGAGGGACACCGCAGAUUCUUAGGUCACCGCAAGACGAUCACCCCAGACAGGUAUUAAAGCAGUCAAUCUUCAGGGGCUUUUGAGAAUGAAAAUUCAGACUGCCAAAAUUAAACCUCAACUUGGAAAGGACUUGUUAAACUUUUUGAUAGGCUGGAAAGUGGAAAGCUUAGAGAGGGGCCGUCUUUCUCGUAUCUCGUGCAGGAGAUGCACAAGAACUGGCAAGGGGCCCCGAGGAAAAGGAGAGGACCAUUGCCAGGAAUCAAAGGUCGAGCACGUUUCAGGACAGAAGAAUCUUUUUAUGAAAAUCCAUACCCAGAAUGCAUAUGUGGUCCAAAGACACAUAGAGCAAGAUAAGUCUAUCCGAAUUUCAGAGUUUCUGCAAUUACAAAUUUAUGUCAAGUAAAUAUCUUGGUACCCCAUGACAAGUCUAUUUGAACUUCAAAGAUCCUGACUGGCAAAAAUUUCGAGCCCUGGCUGCACUAGCAUCAGAUUAGGUUUUUAGAUUUGUGUAUGAAUUAGAAACUUCAUGAGUGGUAAAACUAUAUUUCUAUGGUUGUCA
Molecule: RNA transcript, 1972 nt
Organism: Mangifera indica (mango)
Lineage: Eukaryota; Viridiplantae; Streptophyta; Magnoliopsida; Sapindales; Anacardiaceae
Gene name: O-fucosyltransferase 38
Exons: 11
Source: RefSeq, a predicted model, not a curated record